UCUCAUUGAACAUGGAAGUAAAGAUGUAUAAAGAGAGACUGUUUGAACUGCUCAGUACGGCAGUUGGCGGAGCGCAGACUCCCCUGCCGUCCAGCGCUGUAUUUGCUCAUAUUCUACUUGCUACAAUUAAUAAAAUUCUAAUUGGAUUAUGAUCCAUUGUGGUCUCUAUUUAUGACAAUUUGGUGCCGUGACUCGGAUAAGGAACGGUGAGCUUCUGUCCUCCGGGGAGGCGCCCCGCGGCAAUCCGCGGCCCCGCGACCGACAGCUUACCUCAACCUUACCGACGAACCUAAAUUCUAGAAUGAUGAGCAAAGGAGAAACCGGUAAAAUCCCAUAAAAAUUCUGUGCACGGGAGUCCGGAUGAAGACGCAGGGCGCAAACAGCUGUCCGGACUGCUGAGCGUGGAUGGACUCAUGCCAGUCGCAUUAAAGGCCCAGUGACGAGACCCCACUGGAAAGUAAUCAGUACUCCAGGUGACACCAAGAUAACUCUGAAAAGAUAACGUAAUGAUAAGAACUUUAGUUGAUUAUUUUGCCGCAUUACCUUUUGGUAUAAAGUGUAUAUUGCUGUUUAUAUUUGCUAUAAUUAUCUUUUUUUAAUCUAUUAUAUAUGGAAGCGUACAAAGUGUGUUGAAGGAAAUUGCUAAACUUAUGUAGUAACACAAUAUUGAAUAUAGAGGAAAAGCUAAUAAGCACUUUAGAUAUACAAAUUAGAUGCAAUCAUUUGAACUGCGAUUGUUAUCCAUUUGCUCGUUGCAAGUGUAAGGUAUGCCAGGAUAAAUGGUGGACACACUGUGAAUAUGGAUACCCUCCGAUAGGAGUUUGCACACAGUGUUGGAAAACCCAAAGAACUCUCACUGAGUGGAAAUUAAAAACAA
Phalacrocorax carbo (great cormorant) is the source of this 877-nucleotide non-coding RNA. The record is from RefSeq and is a predicted model, not a curated record. Lineage: Eukaryota; Metazoa; Chordata; Aves; Suliformes; Phalacrocoracidae.